AUUUAUAUAGUAUAAAUAAUAUUUUUAACUUCCAAUUAAAAGAUCUAUAACUAGUAUAAAUA
Molecule: transfer RNA, 62 nt
Filed under: Diartiger fossulatus
Lineage: Eukaryota; Metazoa; Arthropoda; Insecta; Coleoptera; Staphylinidae
Description: tRNA-Gly
Source: RNAcentral